RNAcentral lists this long non-coding RNA (1819 nucleotides) under Citrus x clementina. Its description in RNAcentral is "Citrus clementina (C. clementina) long non-coding RNA (CCLE_LNC006765)". Lineage: Eukaryota; Viridiplantae; Streptophyta; Magnoliopsida; Sapindales; Rutaceae. The record is from RNAcentral.
AUUAUAGUACCUCAAUCCCAGAAAAACAUGCUCUUUAUAACUAAUUAAUUAAGUAACCCAGAAAAACAUGCUCUUUAUAACUAAUUAAUUAAGUAACCAACUUCACGAGUACUAAAAGCUUGCCCACUCCUACAUAUUUUGUCGUAUUGCUAUAAUUUUCCACAAUAAAAUCUGUUGAUGCCAAAUGAAAAAAAGAAUAAAAUAAAAAAGUAUAAAGGGUUCUGUUUCUUUCGUUUAACGGGGCAGAUAUUUUGUUGGCUACUAAUUUUGAUGUCGUUUGCAUUACAAAAAAAAGGAAGGGAUCAUUAAAUUUCUUGGAAGCAAAUCAAAAGUUCUAUUCGAAAGCAACGUAUGGAAUCAUUUUAAUUAUCAUAUAAUAAAAUGAUUUAAGUUGGAUCUAGUUGAUGUCGACUAUGACUAGGUUGAAAAGUCGAGUAUAAAAAAUAGCACUAUAGCAUCAAUUUUAACGCGGUUUGGUGACAUUUGGCCUACCCUAAUCAAUCAUAUUAUUCUCAGUACAAAAUUUUAUAUUUCUCGGAAGUCACUGAGAAAUUUCUUGAUAGUUGGUGAUCAAAUUAACCGAAAAUGGAGGAAAAAGUUGCUUCCAGAACAAUAGAGCAAGUUGGAAAGAGAGGUGGGUAAGGUUUUUCUUUACCAAUAUUUUUUGCGGAUUAAGAUUAUGCACAACAACUUAAUUAAUUCUUUAAAUUGUUAAUUUUUUAACAAGAAAAAAAAAGGACGAAUUUAAAUAAUUAAUUAAUUGUCAAGUGGGUGAUGGCAGCAGAAUUAUUAUCGGCUAAUGGGCUGGUAGACUCCGUCAACAGACGGAGAAACAACGGCGGAAAUAACGGAGACCAACCACACCCACAUUAUCAGGAAAAACAAACCCACGCUCAUGUAUGAAGCAUGGGUGCGUGCUGGAGCAUUUUGAUUUUGGCAAGGAGAGCGAAGACAAUGAUGAAAAUUCAAUUUAUUAAUACUAAAAAUUCAAUUUAUUGUUUGUAUACAGAGUAGGAAAUUUCCAUUAUUGAUACUUUAUUUGCACAAUUUUUCCUCCUAGCACAUCAAUAUAAUAAAAUAAUUUAACUGAUUAUAUUUUGUAAUGGACUAUGGUAAUUUGAUUGAAUAGUGCAUUGUGUGUGGAUUACGUGUUGUAGGAGUUAUGAAUAUGUUAAAAAACAAUAGAUACUUGAAUAUUAAAAAAAUAAUCAUAAAUUAUUGAAAAUUGUCAUAAAUGAUCCUAAUUGAGAAUUCUCAAUUUUAUAUUCUUUUUGAGAUUGUAAAAUUUCCCUCUUAUUCCUGAAUCACUAUUUUUAUUUAUGAUUAGUUCAAUUACAUUACCAUAGUGAUUCUUAUAAUUUUGGUUGAGUAGUUUUUACUUUCAUCCAGCUCAAAAAGUUAAAAUUACACAUUAAAAAAAAAGAUUUAGACUUUGUUUUCAAAAAUGUCGUUAUAGGAAUCUUUAAAUUUUCACAUAUUUUCUUUUUCAGAAUAACUUAUUAAUAUUUGGAAAAUAACUUUAAAUCGUUAAAAAUAAUCUACAAAUAUACAAAUAGAAAAUUAGAAUGAUGAGCUAGUGUGUGAGGUGUGGCACACUCGUACGCGCGUGAUAUAAAUGUUUAACAAUAUCUUAAGGGCAUGUUUGGUACAUUAUAUUAUAGGGUAUUAAAAUACUAUUCACAUUAAAAUAAUAUCAAACCCAUUUUUGGAACAAAAUUACAAGGAAUUAGGGUAGGGGACUAAUGACACAUUAGGGUGGGGGGCUAAUGCCUUUUUUUUUUUUUUUUUUGGUUUUGCUUUUGGUUUUAACUUUUCUUUU